This 685-nucleotide ribosomal RNA is filed under the name Streptomyces sp. EB_106_2. RNAcentral's name for it is "bacterial SSU rRNA". It matches the Rfam family "Bacterial small subunit ribosomal RNA", at positions 98 to 797 of the family's 1533-position model. The record is from RNAcentral. RNAcentral also lists the same sequence under 2 other names. Lineage: Bacteria; Bacillati; Actinomycetota; Actinomycetes; Kitasatosporales; Streptomycetaceae.
GCGAACGGGUGAGUAACACGUGGGCAAUCUGCCCUUCACUCUGGGACAAGCCCUGGAAACGGGGUCUAAUACCGGAUAACACUCUCCUCCUCCUGGGGGUGGGUUAAAAGCUCCGGCGGUGAAGGAUGAGCCCGCGGCCUAUCAGCUUGUUGGUGGGGUAAUGGCCUACCAAGGCGACGACGGGUAGCCGGCCUGAGAGGGCGACCGGCCACACUGGGACUGAGACACGGCCCAGACUCCUACGGGAGGCAGCAGUGGGGAAUAUUGCACAAUGGGCGAAAGCCUGAUGCAGCGACGCCGCGUGAGGGAUGACGGCCUUCGGGUUGUAAACCUCUUUCAGCAGGGAAGAAGCGCAAGUGACGGUACCUGCAGAAGAAGCACCGGCUAACUACGUGCCAGCAGCCGCGGUAAUACGUAGGGUGCGAGCGUUGUCCGGAAUUAUUGGGCGUAAAGAGCUCGUAGGCGGUCUGUCACGUCGGAUGUGAAAGCCCGGGGCUUAACCCCGGGUCUGCAUUCGAUACGGGCAGACUAGAGUGUGGUAGGGGAGAUCGGAAUUCCUGGUGUAGCGGUGAAAUGCGCAGAUAUCAGGAGGAACACCGGUGGCGAAGGCGGAUCUCUGGGCCAUUACUGACGCUGAGGAGCGAAAGCGUGGGGAGCGAACAGGAUUAGAUACCCUGGUAGUCCA